Cydia pomonella (codling moth) is the source of this 610-nucleotide long non-coding RNA. RefSeq lists it as uncharacterized. The transcript is spliced from 2 exons. Lineage: Eukaryota; Metazoa; Arthropoda; Insecta; Lepidoptera; Tortricidae. The record is from RefSeq and is a predicted model, not a curated record.
AUUCAGUGGAUUCCUUCCAACGUAGGGUUAGUAGGAAACGAGGCAGUAGAUAAGCUUGCUAAAACCGCUGUAAUGGGUGGCUCUGUACUAGAUUCUAUACCAUAUACAAGUGAAGUCAUUCCUAGAAUUAAAAAAAGAUGUUUACAAAAAUGGGAAUACCAUUUUGGAGAACAAUCUUUAUCAAGAGAUGUAGGAAUCUGGUACAGAACAAUCCAAGCUAGGCCCUUGUGGAUACCCUGGUUUGAUUCUGCCAACCUCGCUCGAAAAGAGUUAGUCUCAGCUUUCCGAGUCCGGUCCGGACACAUCCCUACAAAUAAGUUUCUAUGUAUGAUGGGUGUUAAACCGUCACCUCUGUGUGUAGACUGUCAGAAGCCUGAUGACUUGUCUCACGUAUUGUUGGACUGCGUCCGGAAUUCGGACUUGAGAAAAUAGAUAUUUAGUUGUUUGGGCUCCAUGCACAAUGGACAGAUCAAUUGUUGGUUGGCAGAGCCUUUAUCAGACAUAGCAAUCAGCGUAUACCACUUUAUUGAUCUCUCCCUUGCGUAGGGAGCUAUGAAAGCACCCAUGAGGCUGACAUGUUCACCUAGAGUGUCCAAAGCCUCAAUAAAAA